This 1008-nucleotide long non-coding RNA is filed under the name Scleropages formosus (Asian bonytongue). RNAcentral's name for it is "lncRNA (ENSSFOG00015025171.1)". The record is from RNAcentral. Lineage: Eukaryota; Metazoa; Chordata; Actinopteri; Osteoglossiformes; Osteoglossidae.
GCGCCAUUUCACAACCCUGUAAUUACGGCUUUUGCCAUUAACAAUUUGUCAAAGAAGAAUCGAAUAAUCGACAUCUCUAUUCACUGGGAGAAGCCCACCUCCCCCAGGCCUCAGCCCUCUCCGUGUUUCCUCCUUUGGUCUCCUUGUGCUGCGCUCGCAGUCUUCCUCCACCACACACACACGGAGCGAAACACAAACACAAACAUACGCCGAAGCACACACACGCACGCACAACCAUUUACAUAUCAUCAGCGGCCAUCUGCUCCGUGCUGCUCUAAAUGAUGGGUAAUUAACACGGCGCCUUUGUCUUCCUCUGACUGGAUGGUUGACACGUAUAGAUUUUUCAGCGGCGUAUAUGCGAAACGGGGAAGAACGAGUGCGAAAGAGAGAGAGAGCGAGAGAGAGAGAGAGAGAGAGAGCGAGGGAGAGAGAGAGAAAGCCAUAAUGGAUUGGUAUAUGAAUGAUGCGGCAGAACUGACCCAAAAAGGCAACACGGAGCUAUUAAGAUGAUGGAGGAGCGAUACGCAUGACGGGUCAAGGAAGGAAAGCCAACCCCCCUCCCACCAACCUACCCUUGCACGGUGUAGCGGAGCAGAAGGGAAGACAGCGGAAGCCGGCAGCCCCCCGAAACGACACGGACGAUUACCCUGACUUCUUUGACGUCUGGGUGCCCGGAGUCGAGGCUGCACGUCUUGAGAGCGUGAACAUGGCUGAAAUUUCCUGCAGGAAGGACAUCUCAAGACAAAUGUCACCUGAGAAGCUUUAAGAGGAGCUCGAGCUGUGUCUGGGAUCGUUCGGUGUGUGCGUUGCCCGCCAGGCCGGCUUCUCCCUCACCAGUGUGCCGGAAUUCCUUAAUCCCCUCCUAAACGCAGGAUCCUGGUCCCGAGCCAGGCCGCGCUGCCAAACCCUCUGCUGGUCAAAUGUCCUGAACGGGGGCCAGAGAUGAGCCGGCCUCCUCGGGUAAACAGCCGGGGAUGCCUCUUUAUUUAGAUUUACAUUCAUUUAUUU